GGUGGUAAAAGAAUUGGCUAUGUUGGUGUUAUAAUCAUGGUGACCAAUUUUUUUUCUAUAAAAUGAAUUUAAAAUUUCAUACCAAUCCAAAAGUGAAUUAAACUAUUGGUGGAGUUGCACAUUCACAUUUUACUAUUGAGGUAAAUGAUUGUGUACUCUUACUGAGGUAUGAUUUAUACUGUCUCUCUCUCUCUCAGUUGGUCAGUCAUAAAUCUCAUCCAUAUUCAGGACAGGAGUGUGUGUGUACGCGAGGAUGAGUUUGUGUCAGUCCUGGUGCUCCUGUAUGGAUGUGUAAGUGUGAUGGCGGACCUGAAUACAGUUGUAUAG
RNAcentral lists this long non-coding RNA (327 nucleotides) under Astyanax mexicanus (Mexican tetra). Its description in RNAcentral is "lncRNA (ENSAMXG00005002186.1)". The record is from RNAcentral. Lineage: Eukaryota; Metazoa; Chordata; Actinopteri; Characiformes; Acestrorhamphidae.